Molecule: ribosomal RNA, 384 nt
Filed under: Triticum aestivum (bread wheat)
Lineage: Eukaryota; Viridiplantae; Streptophyta; Magnoliopsida; Poales; Poaceae
Description: partial small subunit ribosomal RNA
Source: RNAcentral
AUGCCAUUGUCGGACAGGAAAUUGCGUAGGGUAGACCUACAACCGGCGGUCGAUCGCCUUGCUGGCAAGUGCUCCGGAUGGAACAUUGAUUUGAUUAACCUGAUUGGGAGAGUUGUUCGGGUACAGGUCGUGCUGUCUGCGAUGCGAACCUUUCAGAUGAUUGCAAUUCCGCAAGCAAAGUGGAUAAACCAGAAGACUGACAAGAUCCGCCGACCUUUCCUUUGGGCUGGCAAGAGUGCAGUCUCAGGCGGAAAAUGCCUGGUAAAUUGGAAGUCCAUCUGCAGACCGACCACUUAUGGAGGCCUGGGUAUCUCGAACCUCGAGUACCAUGGCGCCGCGCUGCGCACGCGCUGGCUCUGGCAACAGGCCAAGCUCCCGGACUAG